GGGGGAAGACAUGGGUAUGGGGGGAUUGGGAAGGAAUAUCCAUAAGCAAAAUAUGUUAUUUCUUCCCUACACCUCCCAUACCACUGUUUUUCCUC
This 95-nucleotide microRNA precursor is filed under the name Glycine max (soybean). RNAcentral describes it as "miR482d stem-loop (gma-MIR482d)". Its record names the gene gma-MIR482d. Lineage: Eukaryota; Viridiplantae; Streptophyta; Magnoliopsida; Fabales; Fabaceae. The record is from miRBase by way of RNAcentral.